CACAUGCAAGUCGAGCGGCAGCGGAAAGUAGCUUGCUACUUUGCCGGCGAGCGGCGGACGGGUGAGUAAUGUCUGGGAAACUGCCUGAUGGAGGGGGAUAACUACUGGAAACGGUAGCUAAUACCGCAUGACCUCGCAAGAGCAAAGUGGGGGACCUUCGGGCCUCACGCCAUCGGAUGUGCCCAGAUGGGAUUAGCUAGUAGGUGGGGUAAUGGCUCACCUAGGCGACGAUCCCUAGCUGGUCUGAGAGGAUGACCAGCCACACUGGAACUGAGACACGGUCCAGACUCCUACGGGAGGCAGCAGUGGGGAAUAUUGCACAAUGGGCGCAAGCCUGAUGCAGCCAUGCCGCGUGUGUGAAGAACGCCUUCGGGUUGUAAAGCACUUUCAKCGAGGAGGAAGGGGUUGAGUUUAAUACGCUCAAUCAUUGACGUUACU
RNAcentral lists this ribosomal RNA (438 nucleotides) under Yersinia frederiksenii. Its description in RNAcentral is "bacterial SSU rRNA". It matches the Rfam family "Bacterial small subunit ribosomal RNA", at positions 52 to 479 of the family's 1533-position model. Lineage: Bacteria; Pseudomonadati; Pseudomonadota; Gammaproteobacteria; Enterobacterales; Yersiniaceae. The record is from RNAcentral.